RNAcentral lists this ribosomal RNA (369 nucleotides) under uncultured bacterium. RNAcentral describes it as "bacterial SSU rRNA". It matches the Rfam family "Bacterial small subunit ribosomal RNA", at positions 527 to 896 of the family's 1533-position model. The record is from RNAcentral.
GUAGGCAGCAAGCGUUGUUCGGAGUUACUGGGCGUAAAGGGUGUGUAGGCGGUCUUCUAAGUUUGGUGUGAAAUCUCCCGGCUCAACUGGGAGGGUGCGCCGAAAACUGGGAGGCUAGAGUGCGGGAUGGGAGAGUGGAAUUCCUGGUGUAGCGGUGAAAUGCGUAGAUAUCAGGAGGAACACCUGUGGUGUAGACGGCUCUCUGGACCGCAACUGACGCUGAGACACGAAAGCGUGGGUAGCAAACAGGAUUAGAUACCCUGGUAGUCCACGCCCUAAACGAUGCAUAUUUGGUGUGGGCCAUUCAUUUGGUCCGUGCCGGAGCUAACGCGUUAAAUAUGCCGCCUGGGGAGUACGGUCGCAAGGCUG